RNAcentral lists this ribosomal RNA (647 nucleotides) under uncultured Bacilli bacterium. RNAcentral describes it as "bacterial SSU rRNA". It matches the Rfam family "Bacterial small subunit ribosomal RNA", at positions 83 to 718 of the family's 1533-position model. Lineage: Bacteria; Bacillati; Bacillota; Bacilli. The record is from RNAcentral.
CCGAGCGGAAGAGUUGCGAACGGGUGAGUAACGCGUAGGUAACCUGCCUCUUAGCGGGGGAUAACUAUUGGAAACGAUAGCUAAUACCGCAUAAAAGUCGGCAUUGCAUGAUGUUGACUUGAAAGGUGCAACUGCAUCACUAAGAGAUGGACCUGCGUUGUAUUAGCUAGUUGGUGAGGUAACGGCUCACCAAGGCGACGAUACAUAGCCGACCUGAGAGGGUGAUCGGCCACACUGGGACUGAGACACGGCCCAGACUCCUACGGGAGGCAGCAGUAGGGAAUCUUCGGCAAUGGACGGAAGUCUGACCGAGCAACGCCGCGUGAGUGAAGAAGGUUUUCGGAUCGUAAAGCUCUGUUGUAAGAGAAGAACGAGUGUGAGAGUGGAAAGUUCACACUGUGACGGUAACUUACCAGAAAGGGACGGCUAACUACGUGCCAGCAACCGCGGUAAUACGUAGGUCCCGAGCGUUAUCCGGAUUUAUUGGGCGUAAAGCGAGCGCAGGCGGUUAGAUAAGUCUGAAGUUAAAGGCUGUGGCUUAACCAUAGUACGCUUUGGAAACUGUUUAACUUGAGUGCAGAAGGGGAGAGUGGAAUUCCAUGUGUAGCGGUGAAAUGCGUAGAUAUAUGGAGGAACACCGGUGGCGA